AUGGCUUUAGAUCAGCUCAAGCAGCUUGUACCAUGCCUUCUCCUCCUGUCGAUUAUGUCGUCCUUGUCCCAAGCGAAGGCACAACAGUGCAACCGCCCCGGUUCAGAUGAGAACCGAAAGGGCAACUACUCCAUGGACGACACCAACUUCCGAUUCCAUACGAUCGGCAAAGAUUCCGGGUUCCUACGGACGAUGGUUGGCCUGGACUUGCUCCGCAACCUGUCCGACGCCGACGUGAACAACACCGGUGUGUUUUCCAUCUUCGACCUCUGGAUAACUCUCUGGCAAGUUGGCCAGGAGCAGCUGAGCAUCGACGAGGCGUCGUUCAGCAUCACCAUGGUCUAUCAGCCGCUGAUGGACCAGAGCCGUAGUGGCCUCACCUUCCUGAUCCUCUCUUACAGAUUGCUAACAAGUCUCGAAGCGUAUGUGGGGGCAAAUAGCUCCUUAGCGAAGCAACUGGUGGCCAUAGAUAUCUCCAACCCCACAACCCGAAGCGCCUCCGUCUCCGGCAGCUCCUUCUCUGUCCGGAUCGGUGCACUGGCUAACCUCACCACCUCGGGCACGAGGUACAACAAUAGCACCAUGGCUGUCGUCAUCAACAUUGAUCCGGUGGCAGCUGCCAUCUCUAACUAUUCAGUGUGGAUCGACUACGACCGUGUGGGGCAUAGCCUGUCGGUCUACGUGGACGUUGAAGGUAGGCUCAAGCCUGGUAACGCCAUAGCCGAGGUGAACCUUAGGAUCAGCAGCAUCGAUUUCCCAUACGUCCGUUUUGGCCUCCUCUCCACGACCGCGCAGCUGCUUCGUGCCGGAGCCAUAAAAUGCAGUGCAAUAGUCGAGGGCUUACCUCGCUCCUACGAGGAGGACAAAGCAGGUGGAUUACUGUCGAGGAAGGAAACCAUCAUAACCUCCAUCCUCGGGUCCAUAGCCGGCACCGCCGGUAUGGUUGCCGCCGUGGCGUGCUACUUCGGCUCUAGGUACCGGCGGUGGCACAAGGAGCUAGACAAGCUCGCCAGGUCUAUGGAGCGCCUCCCAGCGGUCCCAAAGAAGGUCGACUUCGCUGACAUCUACAAGGCCACCCGCAACUUCCACGAGGACAUGAAGCUUGGUGGAGGUGGGUUCGGUACAGUGUAUAGGUGCACGCUCCCUGCUGCCGCUUCUAAGACGGGGCAACCAAUGGAUGUGGCCAUCAAGAGGUUCACCCGUGACGUGCAGGACCGCCGCUACGACGACUUCCUCGCCGAGGUUAGCAUCAUCAGCCGGUUGCGCCACAAGAACAUCGUCCCCCUCAUCGGCUGGUCUUAUAACAAAGGAGUGCCGCUGCUUGUGUUCGAGUUCAUGAUCAAUGGCAGUUUAGACCAACAUCUCUUCCAUGGAGGCGGUAGUGACACAAGACAGCACCACACCAACAAUGCCAUCAGGCAAUGGGCAAAACGUUACGAGAUUCUCAAGGGCAUAGUCACCGCCUUGCACUAUGUCCACCACGAGUACGAGCCUCUGGUGCUGCACCGUGACAUCAAGGCAAGCAACAUAAUGUUGGACUCGAGCUUCCGCGCUCGCCUCGGCGACUUUGGCUUGGCUUCGACCGUCGCCGUUGAUAGGAACUCCGUCACUGGCAUGGGUGGCACCUGGGGCUACAUCGCACCAGAGUAUCCAGUUUGCCGCAAGGCAACACGACAAACGGACAUCUAUGCACUCGGUGUGCUCAUCCUCGAGGUUGUCACAGGACAACGGGCGCUCGUUGAUCAUCAGGUGGUGGAUGACGAUGACAUCCACAUCACGGAUAGGGUGUGGCGUCUGCAUCGUGAGGGGAGGUUACUGGAGUGCAUGGAUGCCAUGUUGAUCAACGAUUCUUCCCUUGAUGAUGAGGAGCAGCUAGACACUAUCGGCGAUGUGGAAUGCGUGCUGCUCUUGGGCCUAGCGUGUAGCAACCCGAAUCCAUCAGACCGGCCCACCAUGCCUGAAGUGGUGCGUGUCAUCGCCAAGUCAACUCCGCCGCCACAUGUUCCUCCUCAGAAGCCAAUAUUUGUGUGGCCACCGCAGGAAGAGGGGCGUUCAGGGGCCUCCGAUGAUGAUAGCACGGGUACAUCGAUGAUGAAUAAUCUUGACAAGAGUAUGGUAAGCACCACCAGAGGACAUGCCUCAUUUCAACUCCAAGACUCUGUGUACGUCACGGCAAGCAAUUCCUCUGGUCCAUGA
RNAcentral lists this ribosomal RNA (2196 nucleotides) under Triticum aestivum (bread wheat). Its description in RNAcentral is "partial small subunit ribosomal RNA". Lineage: Eukaryota; Viridiplantae; Streptophyta; Magnoliopsida; Poales; Poaceae. The record is from RNAcentral.